This 106-nucleotide ribosomal RNA is filed under the name Eimeria auburnensis. RNAcentral's name for it is "partial 5.8S rRNA". It matches the Rfam family "5.8S ribosomal RNA", at positions 51 to 154 of the family's 154-position model. Rfam says of the family: 5.8S ribosomal RNA (5.8S rRNA) is a component of the large subunit of the eukaryotic ribosome. Lineage: Eukaryota; Apicomplexa; Conoidasida; Eucoccidiorida; Eimeriidae. The record is from RNAcentral.
CGAUGCGAUACGCAUUGUGAAUUGCAGAUUUCAGUGAACCAUUAGAUUUCCGAACGCAUAUGGCGCUGUAGGGACUUCCCUGCAGCACGUCUGUUUCAGUGUCUUU